This 460-nucleotide ribosomal RNA is filed under the name uncultured bacterium. RNAcentral describes it as "partial 16S ribosomal RNA". It matches the Rfam family "Bacterial small subunit ribosomal RNA", at positions 338 to 795 of the family's 1533-position model. The record is from RNAcentral.
CCUACGGGUGGCAGCAGUGAGGAAUAUUGGUCAAUGGGCGAGAGCCUGAACCAGCCAAGUCGCGUGAAGGAUGACGGCCCUACGGGUUGUAACCUUCUUUUGUCAGGGAGCAAUUGAGUCCACGUGUGGGCUUAGCGAGAGUACCUGAAGAAAAAGCAUCGGCUAACUCCGUGCCAGCAGCCGCGGUAAUACGGAGGAUGAGAGCGUUAUCCGGAUUUAUUGGGUUUAAAGGGUGCGUAGGCGGAAUAUCAAGUCAGCGGUAAAAGUUCGGGGCUCAACCCCGUCGGGCCGUUGAAACUGGGGUUCUUGAGUGGGCGAGAAGUAUGCGGAAUGCGUGGUGUAGCGGUGAAAUGCAUAGAUAUCACGCAGAACUCCGAUUGCGAAGGCAGCAUACCGGCGCCCAACUGACGCUGAAGCACGAAAGCGUGGGUAUCGAACAGGAUUAGAUACCCCUGUAGUC